GAUGAACGCUGACAGAAUGCUUAACACAUGCAAGUCUACUUGAACUUCGGUUUGGGUGGCGGACGGGUGAGUAACGCGUAAAGAACUUACCUCACAGUUAGGGACAACAUUUGGAAACGAAUGCUAAUACCUGAUAUUAUGAUUUUAGGGCAUCCUAAGAUUAUGAAAGCUAUAUGCGCUGUGAGAGAGCUUUGCGUCCCAUUAGCUAGUUGGAGAGGUAACGGCUCACCAAGGCGAUGAUGGGUAGCCGGCCUGAGAGGGUGAACGGCCACAAGGGGACUGAGACACGGCCCUUACUCCUACGGGAGGCAGCAGUGGGGAAUAUUGGACAAUGGACCAAAAGUCUGAUCCAGCAAUUCUGUGUGCACGAUGACGUUUUUCGGAAUGUAAAGUGCUUUCAGUUGGGAAGAAAAAAAUGACGGUACCAACAGAAGAAGAGACGGCUAAAUACGUG
This 454-nucleotide ribosomal RNA is filed under the name uncultured bacterium. RNAcentral's name for it is "partial 16S ribosomal RNA". It matches the Rfam family "Bacterial small subunit ribosomal RNA", at positions 28 to 507 of the family's 1533-position model. The record is from RNAcentral.